UACGUAGGGUGCGAGCGUUAAUCGGAAUUACUGGGCGUAAAGCGUGCGCAGGCGGUUUUGUAAGCCAGAUGUGAAAUCCCCGGGCUUAACCUGGGAAUGGCAUUUGGGACUGCAAGGCUUGAGUGCGGCAGAGGAGACUAGAAUUCCUGGUGUAGCAGUGAAAUGCGUAGAUAUCUGGAGGAACACCGGUGGCGAAGGCGGCAUCCUGGACCAAUAUUGACGCUGAGGAGCGAAAGCCAGGGGAGCAAACGGG
Molecule: ribosomal RNA, 253 nt
Filed under: uncultured bacterium
Lineage: Bacteria
Description: partial 16S ribosomal RNA
Rfam family: Bacterial small subunit ribosomal RNA
Source: RNAcentral